UCCACGGGCGGUUAGGUCGCAGCGGGUUCUCUGUCUGGGGUCUUCGAAAGGACGAUGCACCACGUCGGAGACCGGAUGGUGCGUGCAAGUCGCAAGGAAUUUCGAGGAUUUGUGCAGAGAGAGAGAGAGAGAAAGAGACGGUUUUACGGUUGCUUGGCAACGAGGCCAGGCACCUAGCCAGACGAAGCAGCCAGCCAACGGCAACCGGAGGCGCCUACCACGGGUCCGACGAUCCGUUGAGGUCAGAGCCCCUCUUACAAAGAAGGGCCCCUCCCUUGGCGCCCUCGGACCGUUUAUAUAGGGUGUCCUACUCCCGAGUGUCUACAUACGGCGCGACCGUUCGUCGCUUUUCGAAAAUCGCGAUCAGCUGAUCAACACCGUGGAUGAGAGAUGGGAAAUUUAACUACUUAUCCCCACCCCGAAUCUCACCGCCUGCUAUUGUGUCACGACUUACCUCUAAUAGCAGUAAUUAGUAUUUCGUCGUCGAUAAUGCGCAGUUGCCCGAAAGAACCGUUGUUCUAAUCACUUCGAAGAUCUGCAGAUAAUUAGCACAAAGGAAUUUCAACGCACGUGCUUGCUGCGAAGGCGUUUCACGGAUACUCUGUGCUCCUCGUGAACGCUCGGCUUAAUCUUCGCGACAUCCCAGAGGAGACUCGUUCUCUUACCAGCGAUUCAAAUUAGGACAACUGCACCUCGCCGCGGGCGGCUUAGCUUUCCGGUUUUCCUUGAUGCAGGCAUCGUUCGUCGAUGAUGGACGGGCGUUUGUUGGUCUCCUGUACCAGGCGGAUUUCU
This is a long non-coding RNA of Odontomachus brunneus, 792 nucleotides long. RefSeq lists it as uncharacterized. NCBI's taxonomy places the organism in Eukaryota, Metazoa, Arthropoda, Insecta, Hymenoptera, Formicidae. The transcript is spliced from 3 exons. The record is from RefSeq and is a predicted model, not a curated record.